Molecule: unclassified non-coding RNA, 743 nt
Filed under: Hevea brasiliensis (rubber tree)
Lineage: Eukaryota; Viridiplantae; Streptophyta; Magnoliopsida; Malpighiales; Euphorbiaceae
Source: RNAcentral
UUCAGCCUUAGCAUAGUCAGUAUCUGUUAAAGGACCAGCUGGGAAAGGAGUGAUCUCGACAAUAAGGUGUGGCGUAGGGAGCUCAUCAAACAAUGCUCGAACGUUGUUGCAACAGACACUUUCUCCAUGAGCACUUUCCCUCCUAAUCUGACAACCCUUGUGAGAAGUGGCAUCUCUGAAGUGGUCAUCAUCUGAUAGCAAGGAAGCAAUGGACUUGAGAAGGCGCUUUCCUUCAGGUUUGGACGGUACCCUGUAAUUUCGACGUAAGGUCCCCUUGGUGGUAGGAUGCCAUUUGCUCACUAAUUUCCUUCUGUUAGUAGCUUCCUUCUCUGGUUUGCUUUGCAACUCUUCAAACCAUUUGGCAAAACCCAAUUCAGCAUUGCCAUCGUUCUCCAAAUCUGAAACAAGAGGAUUAGAAGGAGAUCCAGCUAAACCAGCUUUCAAAAGAGCAUAAAAUACACAAACUCUACCAGCCCACAAGACAGGAGCUUCAAGCAAAGUAGCAUGAAUGGUUUUUGACCCAGUUUUGGCACUAGAAACACUCAAUGAGCUCCUUUUGUUACCCAAAUAGAACCUGUAAUCAAGACUGGGUAAAAAAGAUUUGGGUAACAAAGGAGAGGUGAAAAAGGUCAGAUUUUUAAAGAACAAACUGUUUCUUGAAAUGGGUUGAGAUGAAAAUGUGAAAGAAUUGAUUGUAGUUUGUAGAAUCAUUGCUUUGAUUGGAUUUGAAAAGUGAAUUGAAG